AGGACCUUGCGCUCGAAAGUGUAACUCGCUACCCACUGACCUAAGAGAUUUAGUUGAAAAGUAAGUUUCGUAUGAACUUCAAGUAAUAAAAAUCUUAUACGUGAUGGAUUCUUGGUCAACAAAAUUUUAGAUCUAUGAGCAGACAUGAACAGCCAUGAACAGACAUGAACAUAUAUGACCAGGCAUGGACAGGUAUGAUCAGGCCUGACAUACAUGAACAGGCAUGGUCAGGUCUGAUCAUUUUUUCCCGGCAGUACAGCAGCUUCAAUUUUUCGUAAUAUAAACAAGACAUUAAAUUUAUUUAUUUUUAGCGAAUGAUAAAAAUUUCUGUUUUUUUUUUGAUAAAAAUUGCUAUAAAUAUAAAAUUUUUUUCAAUGAUCGAUACAUCGAAAUUAUCUGCAAACUUUAAGCACUCCACUUAUACUCUCAAUGUUGUACAACGACAGGCCAAGUUAAUUACUGGGCACAUAAAAAUUAAGAAAUGGGAUAAUUAUCGUACUAGAAAAUAUUUUCCAUUUAUUUUAUUCCAGCGAUUAAAAGAUUCAUUUGAUUAAUUUCGAUUUACAUACAAUUCUAUCUAUAUCAAUCGAUAUCUUCGAACCUAUUAGUCGAAUCGAAAUGAAGUAUGAAUGAAAUUUGAAGAGGAAGGUCUAAGCUUUAAAAUGAGAGCGAGAACGAGCCCAAAUCUUGAUUAGUUUCAAAGUUGUACGAUUGCCAAUAAACUUCUUGUUUUAUCCAAA
Molecule: long non-coding RNA, 740 nt
Organism: Microplitis mediator
Lineage: Eukaryota; Metazoa; Arthropoda; Insecta; Hymenoptera; Braconidae
Exons: 3
Source: RefSeq, a predicted model, not a curated record